Molecule: long non-coding RNA, 282 nt
Filed under: Physcomitrium patens
Lineage: Eukaryota; Viridiplantae; Streptophyta; Bryopsida; Funariales; Funariaceae
Description: long non-coding RNA (PPAT_LNC001562)
Source: RNAcentral
UAAAGAGUUUUUUUUAAAAAAAAAAGUUUUACAAGCUUGUUAUUUUAUCUUCAAAGCAUAAUAUCUCUUCAAGCUAUAUAUUGACAUGUAAAAGGAAAAGUUGAUCAAAGACUUGUUAUUAAAAAAUUUAACUUUCAUGGAUCUUUACAUUAAGAAGAAAAGAAGAGAGUUUGCAAUUUUUAAAGCUUGUAAUUGGUUGAAAUUAAGAACCAUUUUUUAGUCAAAAUUUUAGUUCAAAAAUAGUAGAGAAAGACCAUAAGAUAAAAUAAUAAAGUGGAAGGU